GACGAACGCUGGCGGCGUGCUUAACACAUGCAAGUCGAACGGAAAGGCCCUGCUUUUGUGGGGUGCUCGAGUGGCGAACGGGUGAGUAACACGUGAGUAACCUGCCCUUGACUUUGGGAUAACUUCAGGAAACUGGGGCUAAUACCUGAUAGUAGCUCCUGCUGCAUGGUGGUGGUUGGAAAUUUUCGGCGGUUGGGGAUGGACUCGCGGCUUAUCAGCUUGUUGGUGGGGUAGUGGCUUACCAAGGCUUUGACGGGUAGCCGGCCUGCGAGGGUGACCGGCCACAUUGGGACUGAGAUACGGCCCAGACUCCUACGGGAGGCAGCAGUGGGGAAUAUUGCAAAAUGGGCGGAAGCCUGAUGCAGCAACGCCGCGUGCGGGAUGACGGCCUUCGGGUUGUAAACCGCUUUCGCCUGUGACGAAGCGUGAGUGACGGUAAUGGGUAAAGAAGCACCGGCUAACUACGUG
Molecule: ribosomal RNA, 468 nt
Filed under: uncultured bacterium
Lineage: Bacteria
Description: partial 16S ribosomal RNA
Rfam family: Bacterial small subunit ribosomal RNA
Source: RNAcentral